RNAcentral lists this ribosomal RNA (822 nucleotides) under Halobacillus sp. W364. RNAcentral's name for it is "bacterial SSU rRNA". It matches the Rfam family "Bacterial small subunit ribosomal RNA", at positions 58 to 846 of the family's 1533-position model. Lineage: Bacteria; Bacillati; Bacillota; Bacilli; Caryophanales; Bacillaceae. The record is from RNAcentral.
CAAGUCGAGCGCGGGAAGCGAGCGGAUCCCUUCGGGGUGAAGCUCGUGGAACGAGCGGCGGACGGGUGAGUAACACGUGGGCAACCUGCCUGUAAGACCGGAAUAACCCCGGGAAACCGGGGCUAAUGCCGGGUAAUACUUUUCUUCGCAUGAAGGAAAGUUGAAAGAUGGCUUCUCGCUAUCACUUACAGAUGGGCCCGCGGCGCAUUAGCUAGUUGGUGAGGUAACGGCUCACCAAGGCGACGAUGCGUAGCCGACCUGAGAGGGUGAUCGGCCACACUGGGACUGAGACACGGCCCAGACUCCUACGGGAGGCAGCAGUAGGGAAUCUUCCGCAAUGGACGAAAGUCUGACGGAGCAACGCCGCGUGAACGAUGAAGGUCUUCGGAUCGUAAAGUUCUGUUGUUAGGGAAGAACAAGUACCGUGCGAAUAGAGCGGUACCUUGACGGUACCUAACGAGGAAGCCCCGGCUAACUACGUGCCAGCAGCCGCGGUAAUACGUAGGGGGCAAGCGUUGUCCGGAAUUAUUGGGCGUAAAGCGCGCGCAGGCGGUUCCUUAAGUCUGAUGUGAAAGCCCACGGCUCAACCGUGGAGGGUCAUUGGAAACUGGGGAACUUGAGGACAGAAGAGGAGAGUGGAAUUCCACGUGUAGCGGUGAAAUGCGUAGAUAUGUGGAGGAACACCAGUGGCGAAGGCGACUCUCUGGUCUGUCUCUGACGCUGAGGUGCGAAAGCGUGGGUAGCAAACAGGAUUAGAUACCCUGGUAGUCCACGCCGUAAACGAUGAGUGCUAGGUGUUAGGGGGCUUCCACCCCUUAGUGC